CAUGAGGUUACCACUGAC
This 18-nucleotide non-coding RNA is filed under the name Arabidopsis thaliana (thale cress). Lineage: Eukaryota; Viridiplantae; Streptophyta; Magnoliopsida; Brassicales; Brassicaceae. The record is from RNAcentral.